This is a small nucleolar RNA of Ursus americanus (American black bear), 95 nucleotides long. NCBI's taxonomy places the organism in Eukaryota, Metazoa, Chordata, Mammalia, Carnivora, Ursidae. The record is from Ensembl.
GCUGCACCUGUGACGGGGAGGCAAGGAGGACGUGGCUAUUUCUAUGCGCAGUGCUCACAAUACUGAGCACUCAGAACGGUUUAUAGCCUAACAAG